ACAGUUCUACUGGCUGGCUUUGUCGGCUGUAGACUGAAUAACUAAAGACAACUCUCAACAACGGAUAUCUUGGCUCCCGUAACGAUGAAGAACGCAGCGAAAUGCGAUACGUAGUGUGAAUUGCAGAAUUCCGUGAACCAUCGAAUCUUUGAACGCAAAUUGCGCUCGAGGCCUCGGCCAAGAGCAUGUCUGCCUCAGCGUCG
This 203-nucleotide ribosomal RNA is filed under the name Trebouxia jamesii. RNAcentral describes it as "5.8S ribosomal RNA". The stretch from base 50 to 203 matches the Rfam family "5.8S ribosomal RNA". Rfam says of the family: 5.8S ribosomal RNA (5.8S rRNA) is a component of the large subunit of the eukaryotic ribosome. It is transcribed by RNA polymerase I as part of the 45S precursor that also contains 18S and 28S rRNA. The record is from RNAcentral. Lineage: Eukaryota; Viridiplantae; Chlorophyta; Trebouxiophyceae; Trebouxiales; Trebouxiaceae.